AUGUCAUCACUUUUGCUCCUCAGCCUUCUGGGGCUCUGCAUCCCAGGCACUUAUGGUGACAUUUUAAUGACCCAGUCUCCAUCCUAUCUAUCUGGAACUCCUGGAGAGAGAAUCACCAUCACUUGCAGAACCAAUGAAAGCAUUAAAUACACUGAUGGGAAAAACUAUCUGAACUGGUACCAACAGAAAAUUGGGCCACCUAAGCAACUCAUUUAUCAGGUUUCCAACUUACGGCCCGGGGUUCCAGCCCGGUUCAGUGGCAGUGGGUCAGACAGGGAUUUCACCCUCACCAUCAGCAGCAUAAAGAGUGAAGAUGCCGGUGUCUAUUAUUGUGGGCAAGGUUCCUUUAGGCCUCACACAGUGAUAGAAUCCCUAACAUAA
Molecule: non-coding RNA, 381 nt
Organism: Orycteropus afer afer
Lineage: Eukaryota; Metazoa; Chordata; Mammalia; Tubulidentata; Orycteropodidae
Source: the annotation of a RefSeq genome assembly